Long non-coding RNA from Cyprinus carpio carpio, 1088 nucleotides. The record is from Ensembl. NCBI's taxonomy places the organism in Eukaryota, Metazoa, Chordata, Actinopteri, Cypriniformes, Cyprinidae.
CAUUUUGGUCUCAUUUAUGUAAAUGCAUUUUAAAAAAUCACAAGAUAAUUUUCUUUAUUUCUUGUAGGUGCAAAGAACAGCAGCUGAUGUGGAGAAAUGUUUGAUACUUCAAGACUCUCUGAAGCUGAUUAUAUUAGGUAAUGUAUUAAUUCUAUUGUAAAUCUUUUGAUAAACUUGUAUUUUAGAUUAAAUUUAAUAUUGAAAUACUGGAUUGUAAGUUACAUUAUUGCUUAUAUUUAUUCAUUUCAGGUGAACACAGUGGCUUUUUUUUUUUUGUUACUUUUCAAGGGUCAGAUGGUUGUGAAUUCAUACCUCAACUUUGUGGCUGGAUUUGCAGUUUAUUACAACUUCAGUCUGGCGUCCCGGGAGCAGGCAUCUUUUGCACACUUGAAUUUUUUCAAAGUCCAGCAGAUCUCCAGUCAUUUCGUUCCUGCAUAUCAAAGGCUUUGUGGUUUGGCUCAUUCACUGUCGCUGCUUGUCCAGCUGCCAGAAGACUGGAGCCCUGUCAGUCAGCCGCGACCCCGCCCGGGACCUUCCCCUACUGGGACAAUGUUCCCAUUGAUCCUGGCUUGGCUGGAGUGACAGGACGCCGCCUCCAUCAGGGAAAUAAGCAGGUAAAAUAUUAAGUUAUGGGGGCAGGUUUCAAUCAAUAAGCAGACCCGUGACUGAGGUGGGGUCUGAGGUUAUUUGCCCUGCUAGAGGACCCUCAUAAUGCAAUUGAGGGAUUUGAAACACAAGUGGAUCUGUUCCAAAGCAAUACAGACAUCAGUCGUCCCAUCCAGACCUGACUGGAAGUUCACAGAUUUCACCAAGAGACCAAUGUUGUUACUGAGCAUAUUGGCAUCAGCUCACCCUAGGACUAGAAGUAGAUCCAAUGGCCUGUGUUCCAAUACAGAGAAAACAAAUACAACAGACGAACAGCAGAAUGGGUAAAUUUCAGCAGAAGGGCCUGGAAAGUGACCAGUCACUGGAAGUUCUGCACAACGGUGAAAAUACAACUACAACUGUUAAAAAUCUUUUUCAUCAUUUGAAAUAAAGCUGUACUACAAAAAAAUAAUUAUAAAUAAAAUAAAUAAUAAACAAAAAAU